UAAGCCAGAAUGCAUUUGCUAGGCACAAUU
RNAcentral lists this non-coding RNA (30 nucleotides) under Rattus norvegicus (Norway rat). The record is from RNAcentral. Lineage: Eukaryota; Metazoa; Chordata; Mammalia; Rodentia; Muridae.